RNAcentral lists this ribosomal RNA (1432 nucleotides) under Streptomyces phaeochromogenes. RNAcentral describes it as "bacterial SSU rRNA". It matches the Rfam family "Bacterial small subunit ribosomal RNA". Lineage: Bacteria; Bacillati; Actinomycetota; Actinomycetes; Kitasatosporales; Streptomycetaceae. The record is from RNAcentral.
CAUGCAAGUCGAACGAUGAAGCCCUUCGGGGUGGAUUAGUGGCGAACGGGUGAGUAACACGUGGGCAAUCUGCCCUUCACUCUGGGACAAGCCCUGGAAACGGGGUCUAAUACCGGAUAACACUCGCCGAGGCAUCUCGGUGGGUUGAAAGCUCCGGCGGUGAAGGAUGAGCCCGCGGCCUAUCAGCUUGUUGGUGAGGUAGAAGCUCACCAAGGCGACGACGGGUAGCCGGCCUGAGAGGGCGACCGGCCACACUGGGACUGAGACACGGCCCAGACUCCUACGGGAGGCAGCAGUGGGGAAUAUUGCACAAUGGGCGAAAGCCUGAUGCAGCGACGCCGCGUGAGGGAUGACGGCCUUCGGGUUGUAAACCUCUUUCAGCAGGGAAGAAGCGAAAGUGACGGUACCUGCAGAAGAAGCGCCGGCUAACUACGUGCCAGCAGCCGCGGUAAUACGUAGGGCGCAAGCGUUGUCCGGAAUUAUUGGGCGUAAAGAGCUCGUAGGCGGUCUGUCACGUCGGAUGUGAAAGCCCGGGGCUUAACCCCGGGUCUGCAUUCGAUACGGGCAGACUAGAGUGUGGUAGGGGAGAUCGGAAUUCCUGGUGUAGCGGUGAAAUGCGCAGAUAUCAGGAGGAACACCGGUGGCGAAGGCGGAUCUCUGGGCCAUUACUGACGCUGAGGAGCGAAAGCGUGGGGAGCGAACAGGAUUAGAUACCCUGGUAGUCCACGCCGUAAACGGUGGGAACUAGGUGUUGGCGACAUUCCACGUCGUCGGUGCCGCAGCUAACGCAUUAAGUUCCCCGCCUGGGGAGUACGGCCGCAAGGCUAAAACUCAAAGGAAUUGACGGGGGCCCGCACAAGCAGCGGAGCAUGUGGCUUAAUUCGACGCAACGCGAAGAACCUUACCAAGGCUUGACAUCGCCCGGAAAGCAUCAGAGAUGGUGCCCCCCUUGUGGUCGGGUGACAGGUGGUGCAUGGCUGUCGUCAGCUCGUGUCGUGAGAUGUUGGGUUAAGUCCCGCAACGAGCGCAACCCUUGUUCUGUGUUGCCAGCAUGCCCUUCGGGGUGAUGGGGACUCACAGGAGACUGCCGGGGUCAACUCGGAGGAAGGUGGGGACGACGUCAAGUCAUCAUGCCCCUUAUGUCUUGGGCUGCACACGUGCUACAAUGGCAGGUACAAUGAGCUGCGAUGUCGCAAGGCGGAGCGAAUCUCAAAAAGCCUGUCUCAGUUCGGAUUGGGGUCUGCAACUCGACCCCAUGAAGUCGGAGUUGCUAGUAAUCGCAGAUCAGCAUUGCUGCGGUGAAUACGUUCCCGGGCCUUGUACACACCGCCCGUCACGUCACGAAAGUCGGUAACACCCGAAGCCGGUGGCCCAACCCCCUUGUGGGGAGGGAGCUGUCGAAGGUGGGACUGGCGAUUGGGACGAAGUCGUA